GACGAACGCUGGCGGCGUGCUUAACACAUGCAAGUCGAGCGGUAAGGCCCUUUCGGGGGUACGACGAGCGGCGAACGGGUGAGUAACACGUGGGUGACCUGCCCUCAGCUCUGGGAUAAGCCUGGGAAACCGGGUCUAAUACUGGAUAUGACUCCAUGACGCAUGUUGUGGGGUGGAAAGCCUUGUGCGGCUGAGGAUGGGCCCGCGGCCUAUCAGCUUGUUGGUGGGGUGAUGGCCUACCAAGGCGACGACGGGUAGCCGGCCUGAGAGGGCGACCGGCCACACUGGGACUGAGACACGGCCCAGACUCCUACGGGAGGCAGCAGUGGGGAAUCUUGCGCAAGUGGGCGAAAGCCUGACGCAGCGACGCCGCGUGA
Molecule: ribosomal RNA, 377 nt
Filed under: uncultured bacterium
Lineage: Bacteria
Description: bacterial SSU rRNA
Rfam family: Bacterial small subunit ribosomal RNA
Source: RNAcentral